Molecule: ribosomal RNA, 447 nt
Filed under: uncultured bacterium
Lineage: Bacteria
Description: bacterial SSU rRNA
Rfam family: Bacterial small subunit ribosomal RNA
Source: RNAcentral
UGGGGAAUAUUGGACAAUGGGCGCAAGCCUGAUCCAGCCAUGCCGCGUGAACGAUGAAGGCCUUAGGGUUGUAAAGUUCUUUUGUCAGGGAAGAUAAUGACGGUACCUGAAGAAUAAGCACCGGCUAACUACGUGCCAGCAGCCGCGGUAAUACGUAGGGUGCGAGCGUUAAUCGGAAUUACUGGGCGUAAAGCGUGCGCAGGCGGUUUUGUAAGACAGACGUGAAAUCCCCGGGCUUAACCUGGGAACUGCGUUUGUGACUGCAAGGCUAGAGUAUGGCAGAGGGGGGUAGAAUUCCACGUGUAGCAGUGAAAUGCGUAGAUAUGUGGAGGAAUACCGAUGGCGAAGGCAGCCCCCUGGGUCAAUACUGACGCUCAUGCACGAAAGCGUGGGGAGCAAACAGGAUUAGAUACCCCCGUAGUCCCUGAGCGGGCUGGCAAGGCGCAU